RNAcentral lists this ribosomal RNA (540 nucleotides) under uncultured Marinobacter sp. RNAcentral's name for it is "bacterial SSU rRNA". It matches the Rfam family "Bacterial small subunit ribosomal RNA", at positions 371 to 903 of the family's 1533-position model. Lineage: Bacteria; Pseudomonadati; Pseudomonadota; Gammaproteobacteria; Pseudomonadales; Marinobacteraceae. The record is from RNAcentral.
AUGGGCGCAAGCCUGAUCCAGCCAUGCCGCGUGUGUGAAGAAGGCUUUCGGGUUGUAAAGCUCUUUCUCGGAGGAAGAAAAUCUGGCGGUUCAUACUCGAUAGGCUUGACCUUACUCACAGAAAAAGCACCGGCUAACUCCGUGCCCGCAGCCGCGGUAAUACGGAGGGGGCAAGCGUUCAUCGGAAUUACUGGGCGUAAAGCGCGUGUAAGUGGUUUGGUAAGCCCGAUGUGAAAGCCCCGGGCUCAACCUGGGAACGGCGUUUCAAACUGUCAGGCUAUAGUCUGGGAGAGGGGAGUGGAAUUUCCUGUGUAGGAGUGAAAUGCGUAGAUAUAGGAAGGAACACCCGUGGCCAAGGCCGCUCUCUGGACCGAUACUGACACUAAGGGGCUAAAACGCGGGGAGCAAACUGGAUUAAAUACCCUGGUACUCCACGCUGCAAACGAUGUCUCCUAGUCGUUGGGACUCUUGAAGUCUUAUUGCCCCACCUGACGCACUACACACACCGCCUGGGGAGAAGGGCGUCAAGGUUAAAACUCA